AACGUAGGACACAAGCGUUAUCCGGAGUUACUGGGCGUAAAGGGCGUGUAGGCGGAUCGGUAAGUCUACUCUGAAAGCUCCUGGCUAAACUGGGAGAGGCGAGUGGAGACUGUCGGUCUAGAGUACGGAAGAGGAGAUUGGAAUUCCUGGUGUAGCGGUGAAAUGCGCAGAUAUCAGGAGGAACACCAACAGGCGAAGGCAGAUCUCUGGACGUAAC
RNAcentral lists this ribosomal RNA (217 nucleotides) under uncultured bacterium. RNAcentral's name for it is "partial 16S ribosomal RNA". It matches the Rfam family "Bacterial small subunit ribosomal RNA", at positions 524 to 740 of the family's 1533-position model. The record is from RNAcentral.